RNAcentral lists this ribosomal RNA (468 nucleotides) under uncultured bacterium. Its description in RNAcentral is "partial 16S ribosomal RNA". It matches the Rfam family "Bacterial small subunit ribosomal RNA", at positions 28 to 507 of the family's 1533-position model. The record is from RNAcentral.
GACGAACGCUGGCGGCGUGCUUAACACAUGCAAGUCGAACGGAAAGGCCCUGCUUUUGUGGGGUGCUCGAGUGGCGAAAGGGUGAGUAACACGUGAGCAACCUGCCCUUGACUUUGGGAUAACUUCAGGAAACUGGGGCUAAUACCGGAUAGGAGCUCCUGCUGCAUGGUGGGGGUUGGAAAGUUUCGGCGGUUGGGGAUGGACUCGCGGCUUAUCAGCUUGUUGGUGGGGUAGUGGCUUACCAAGGCUUUGACGGGUAUACGGCCUGAGAGGGUGACCGGCCACAUUGGGACUGAGAUACGGCCCAGACUCCUACGGGAGGCAGCAGUGGGGAAUAUUGCACAAUGGGCGGAAGCCUGAUGCAGCAACGCCGCGUGCGGGAUGACGGCCUUCGGGUUGUAAACCGCUUUCGCCUGUGACGAAGCGUGAGUGACGGUAAUGGGUAAAGAAGCACCGGCUAACUACGUG